Long non-coding RNA from Felis catus (domestic cat), 794 nucleotides. RefSeq lists it as uncharacterized. NCBI's taxonomy places the organism in Eukaryota, Metazoa, Chordata, Mammalia, Carnivora, Felidae. The transcript has 4 exons. The record is from RefSeq and is a predicted model, not a curated record.
GCCAGAAAAGGUGGCCUGGAGGCCCUCCACCUGGUGGCGAGCCUGCUGAACCUGGUCCUUCACGUGGGAGGGCAGCCCCUGGAUGCUGGACCCCAGCGAGGCACAGGUGUUCUGCAGCUGCUGGGCAAUGUCGCGGAACAUGGUAUCUACCCAAGAGAAAUGGAGACACGCGACCAUACACGGGCUGGGGCUGGUCACAGGACGUGAUCCACAGGAGGCAAAAGUGGAGACAACCCAGAAGCCCAUCAACUUGUAAACGGACGUUUUUCAGGUUUUUUUUAAAGAGGACGUCUGGAAGAACUUUCCAGGCAGGAGCUAUGUGGUGGGGGAGACGGAAGUGUACAUGCGUGCAUCGGGACCUUAACACCCCACCCCCACCACAGCGGGGGAAGAGAGCAGGCUGGGAGGCAGGACUUUGCCCUCCACCCGCCAUCAGAGCGCUGGCUCGGGACUUGAACCUGACAGGGAGGUGCCGACCAGAGUCAACACCCACAUCUCGAGGUUGCCACGUGGACACGUUGGCGCUGGGACACAGGAGAAGGGAAAUACGGCAGGGUUUAGAGUUCAGCAGGUUGAGAGGCGUCACAAGUGUCCUGCAGUUCAAAGCAACACCCACACCUAAAGGAGGAAAUCAAGGUGGGCUUCCUGGAAGAGGUGGCGUCACGUCCUAAAGGUGGUAAAUGGCUGGAGAGGCUGUGGAAAGCCUUCCAGGCAGGUAGGUCCAUCCGACAGAGGUGCGGAGAAGGAAGGAAGUCAGGGCCCUAAGGAUCCCACAGGCACCCCACGUUGGUACC